This 451-nucleotide ribosomal RNA is filed under the name uncultured bacterium. RNAcentral describes it as "SSU rRNA". It matches the Rfam family "Bacterial small subunit ribosomal RNA", at positions 26 to 518 of the family's 1533-position model. The record is from RNAcentral.
AGGAUGAACGCUGGCGGCGUGCCUAAAACAUGCAAGUCAUACGGGCUACCUUCGGGUAGCCAGUGGCAAACGGGUGAGUAACACGUGGGAACACGCCUUCGAGUGGGGAAUAACGCUGAGAAAUCAGUGCUAAUACCGCAUAUGGUCUAACGACUAAAGCAGCAAUGCGCUCGGAGAGUGGCCCGCGACCGAUUAGCUAGUUGGUGGGGUAAUGGCCUACCAAGGCGGUGAUCGGUAGCUGGUCUGAGAGGAUGGUCAGCCACACUGGGACUGCGAACGGCCCAGACUCCUACGGGAGGCAGCAGUUAGGAAUUUUCGGCAAUGGACGAAAGUCUGACCGAGCGACGCCGCGUGGAGGAUGAAGCCUUUCGGGGUGUAAACUCCUUUUCUGCGGGAAGAUAAUGACGGUACCGCAGGAAUAAGCACCGGCUAACUACGCGCCAGCAGCCGC